CCGCGGUAAUACGAAGGGGGCUAGCGUUGUUCGGAAUUACUGGGCGUAAAGCGCACGUAGGCGGCAUUCCAAGUUGGAGGUGAAAUCCCCGGGCUUAACCUGGGAACUGCCUCCAAAACUGGGAAGCUCGAGUCCGAGAGAGGUGAGUGGAAUUUCCAGUGUAGAGGUGAAAUUCGUAGAUAUUGGAAAGAACACCAGUGGCGAAGGCGGCUCACUGGCUCGGUACUGACGCUGAGGAGCGACAGCGUGG
RNAcentral lists this ribosomal RNA (250 nucleotides) under uncultured bacterium. Its description in RNAcentral is "partial 16S ribosomal RNA". It matches the Rfam family "Bacterial small subunit ribosomal RNA", at positions 515 to 764 of the family's 1533-position model. The record is from RNAcentral.